This 264-nucleotide ribosomal RNA is filed under the name uncultured bacterium. Its description in RNAcentral is "partial 16S ribosomal RNA". It matches the Rfam family "Bacterial small subunit ribosomal RNA", at positions 355 to 636 of the family's 1533-position model. The record is from RNAcentral.
UGGGGAAUAUUGGACAAUGGGGGCAACCCUGAUCCAGCAAUGCCGCGUGUGUGAAGAAGGUCUUCGGAUUGUAAAGCACUUUCGACGGGGACGAUGAUGACGGUACCCGUAGAAGAAGCCCCGGCUAACUUCGUGCCAGCAGCCGCGGUAAUACGAAGGGGGCUAGCGUUGCUCGGAAUGACUGGGCGUAAAGGGCGUGUAGGCGGUUUACACAGUCAGAUGUGAAAUCCCCGGGCUUAACCUGGGAGCUGCAUUUGAUACGUG